CAAACACACACACACACACACACAAAAAAAAAAAAAAACACCCUAAAAUAGUCGACCGUAAUUUCCGACCUACAAGCCGCGUCUUUUUUCACACGCUUUCAACCCUGUGAUGUGGACAAUUUGGGCAUUUUUUCAAACAGUCGCAAGGGGGCACUUGAGCGGAAAAGGUAAGAAUGAGACUGUGCCAAGGAAGUGAUUUUUACUAGCCAUGUUAGCGCUGCGCUAGCGUGUUUCUGCUGUGUUACUAAUACGUCUCAGUGAUAUUUACCGGUAGGUUUUAGCCCUGUUAGCGCUAGCUUUAGCUCAGUGCUAGCAUUAACACUAGCGUGUACCGCUAUGCUAGUGUGUUGCUGCUGUGUUACUGGUACGUCUCAGUGAUAUUUACCAAUAAGUUUUAGCCCUGUUAGCCCUAGUGCGGUGCUAGCAUCAGCGCUAGCGUUAACACUAGCGUAUACUGCUGUGCUAGCACGUCUCAGUGAUGUGUUUCUUUCGCCGUCGCCACAGCAUGUCAUCUCAGAUGAACGCAUACAUAUGUUUGGCACAAUUUUUACACCGGAUGCGCUUCCUGACGCAACCCUUCUCAGGGAGUGGAGGCCCCUGUGGGAUACGAACCCACAACCCCUGGUUUACCAAACCAGUGCUCUAACCAAGUUUUAGCCCUGUUAGCGCUAGCGGAGUGCUAACGUCAGCGCUAGCUUUAACUCAGCGCUAGCAUUAACUCUAACGCUGCUGUGUUACUGGUACGUCUCAGUGAUAUUUACCAGUAAGUUUUAGACCUGUUAGCGCUAGCGCAGUGCUAACGUCAGCGGUAGCUUUAACUCAGCGCUAGCAUUAACACUAGCAUGUACCACUAUGCUAGUGUUUUGCUGCUGUGUUACUGCUACGUCUCAGUGAUAUUUACCGGUAAGUUUUAGACCAGUUGGCGCUAGUGGAAUAUAUAUGCCAAGGAAGUGACUUUUACCGGUCCGGCCCUGUUAGGACUGCGCUAGCAUUAGCGCUAUGCUAGCGUGUUGCCGCUGUGAUACCGGCAUGUCUCAGUGAUAUUUACCGGUAAGUUUUAUUUUAACCAGCCCUGUUAGCACUCGCUUCAGCGAGGCGCUAGCGUUAGCACUAGCUUUAGCUCAGCGCUAGCAUUAACACUAGCGUGUACCGCUGUGCUAGCGUGUUGCUGCUGUGUUCCUGGUACGUCUCAGUGAUAUUUACCAGUAGGUUUUAGCCCUGUUUAUCCCUGUUAGCAUCAGCACGGUGAUACCAUUAACACUAGCAUUAGCGCCGCACUUGCGUUGAACUCUUUCCGUGUACCGUCUUUCUUUUGUGUUUCAAUAUGGGUUUUAAUGUGGGCACUUGCGGCUUUUACACCGGCGUGGCGUAUGUAUGUACCAAAUGGUAUUUCCUGCAGUGUGCUGGGUGAGGCUCGUAAUGAGGUGCGCUCUGUCGGCCGGGAAUUACCGGGACACUGGCUUUGCUGUUGGUUCUUCAAAAUAAGUACACAGCACGUACUGGGUGAUACGUGGGGGGGCUCUCGUUGGUGGUGCUGCAGAAGACGAUGGCGCAAAGGAAGAGUCCCAGGAGCAGCGUCAGCAGCCACAGCGGAAACUGGCCCUCAAUCAAAAAACCUCCGACUGGACACAAAAAGCAAGCGGAUUUAAAAGACCAAAAUACUGUCGACCCCCAAAAACGUAGGGAUGCAACUUUGCAUAACAGAUUCCGGACUGGAAGGUGAAGACACACGCGAGCGGGGCAGUGACCAGAUGGAGACAGUUCAGAGGUCGUCUCCAGUUCUUGUCUUCUCGGUCGUGAUCCACGACGGGGAUGCACAGCAGCAGCGCCACCUCCGC
Syngnathoides biaculeatus (alligator pipefish) is the source of this 1838-nucleotide long non-coding RNA. RefSeq lists it as uncharacterized. Lineage: Eukaryota; Metazoa; Chordata; Actinopteri; Syngnathiformes; Syngnathidae. The record is from RefSeq and is a predicted model, not a curated record. The transcript has 3 exons.